GACGAACGCUGGCGGCGUGCUUAACACAUGCAAGUCGAACGCUGAAGCUUGGUGCUUGCCCUGGUUGGAUGAGUGGCGAACGGGUGAGUAAUACGUGAGUAACCUGCCCUUGACUCUGGGAUAAGCCUGGGAAACUGGGUCUAAUACUGGAUACGACAUGUCACCGCAUGGUGGUGUGUGGAAAGGGUUUUCCUGGUUUUGGAUGGGCUCUCGGCCUAUCAGCUUGUUGGUGGGGUAAUGGCUCACCAAGGCGACGACGGGUAGCCGGCCUGAGAGGGUGACCGGCCACACUGGGACUGAGACACGGCGCAGACGCCUACGGGAGGCAGCAGGGGGGAAUAUUGCACAAUGGGCGGAAGCCUGAUGAAGCGACGCCGCGUGAGGGAUGACGGCCUUCGGGUUGUAAACCUCUUUCAGCACGGAAGAAGCGAAAGUGACGGUACGUGCAGAAGAAGCGCCGGCUAACUACGUG
This 472-nucleotide ribosomal RNA is filed under the name uncultured bacterium. RNAcentral describes it as "partial 16S ribosomal RNA". It matches the Rfam family "Bacterial small subunit ribosomal RNA", at positions 28 to 507 of the family's 1533-position model. The record is from RNAcentral.